GUUCUCUUUGGACGGGGACAUCCGAUAAAAUUGAAACAAUACAGAGAAGAUUAGCAUGGCCCCUGCACAAGAAUGACACGCACAACUCGAGACCAUAACACAUGUAU
Small nuclear RNA from Cucurbita moschata (crookneck pumpkin), 107 nucleotides. The record is from RefSeq and is a predicted model, not a curated record. Lineage: Eukaryota; Viridiplantae; Streptophyta; Magnoliopsida; Cucurbitales; Cucurbitaceae.